Long non-coding RNA from Dipodomys spectabilis (banner-tailed kangaroo rat), 591 nucleotides. RefSeq lists it as uncharacterized. The record is from RefSeq and is a predicted model, not a curated record. The transcript is spliced from 3 exons. Lineage: Eukaryota; Metazoa; Chordata; Mammalia; Rodentia; Heteromyidae.
GUCAAGGCUAGGGAUUCAUCCAGGCCCUCAUGGCACUGCUUGUGUGCUGCCUCUCACAUGGUGUUUCUCCUACAGGUGACAAGAGAGAAGGCUAUGAUAAGGCUGCAAGAGACGACAGUGACCAGGGUUCUGAUGCUUCCCUCAGAGCUGAAAAAGUGUGACACAGCUGCUUUGUGUGGUCUGAGAGGCACAGCAUUUGUUCCUGCCUCUCCUCCUCACUCCUGGGACAUCAUGAGCUCCUGACUUCGCUUCCUGUACCUGGGUUCUGAGCGUGUGCAGGCUUCUGUGUGCUGUCAGCCUCCUGUGAGGAACUGAGGAGCCAGCCCAGCCCUGAGCACCAGGACCCUCCCCACACUGACCUGGGUCUCUUUCCCCUCCAGCUGCUGCUCCAGCAGAGGCAGGGCCAGGGCUUCCCCAACCCUGACUUCACUUUCCCUUGCUCUGAGCUGCAGCUGCUGCUUCCCCACUGAUAAAGAGAAUGUGGAUGUGGGUCUGUGUUUCAAAUUGUUGCCAUGGAAAAAUGUUGAAUAAAUCAAUGAAUGAUUCCCAAAAUUAAGAUAGAAAAUAAAACCUGAUUAACUUCCAAAAUCA